This 814-nucleotide ribosomal RNA is filed under the name Clitopilus prunulus. RNAcentral describes it as "eukaryotic LSU rRNA". It matches the Rfam family "Eukaryotic large subunit ribosomal RNA", at positions 69 to 870 of the family's 3401-position model. Lineage: Eukaryota; Fungi; Basidiomycota; Agaricomycetes; Agaricales; Entolomataceae. The record is from RNAcentral.
ACAGGAUUCCCCUAGUACUGCGAGUGAAGCGGGAAAAGCUCAAAUUUAAAAUCUGGUAGUCUCUGGCUGCCCGAGUUGUAAUCUAGAGAAGUGUUAUCCGCGCUGGACCGUGUAUAAGUCUCCUGGAAUGGAGCGUCAUAGAGGGUGAGAAUCCCGUCUUUGACACGGACUACCAGGGCUUUGUGAUGCGCUCUCAAAGAGUCGAGUUGUUUGGGAAUGCAGCUCUAAAUGGGUGGUAAAUUCCAUCUAAAGCUAAAUAUUGGCGAGAGACCGAUAGCGAACAAGUACCGUGAGGGAAAGAUGAAAAGAACUUUGGAAAGAGAGUUAAACAGUACGUGAAAUUGUUGAAAGGGAAACGCUUGAAGUCAGUCGCGUUGGCUUGGAAUCAGCCUUGCUUUUGCUUGGUGUACUUCCUUGUUGACGGGUCAGCAUCAAUUUUGACCGGUGGAAAAAGGCUAGUGGAAUGUGGCAUCUUCGGAUGUGUUAUAGCUGCUAGUUGUAUACAUCGGUUGGGAUUGAGGAACUCAGCACGCCGAAAGGUCGGGGUUCGCCCACGUUCGUGCUUAGGAUGCUGGCAUAAUGGCUUUAAUCGACCCGUCUUGAAACACGGACCAAGGAGUCUAACAUGCCUGCGAGUGUUUGGGUGGAAAACCCGAGCGCGUAAUGAAAGUGAAAGUUGAGAUCCCUGUCGUGGGGAGCAUCGACGCCCGGACCAGACCUUCUGUGACGGAUCCGCGGUAGAGCAUGUAUGUUGGGACCCGAAAGAUGGUGAACUAUGCCUGAAUAGGGUGAAGCCAAGAGGAAACUCUGGUGG